AUCCAGGAAGAGCUCACUGCUACCUUUACGAUCGAGUUAUUCAUCCGGCAGACACCACAAAUGUUGAUGAAGGCAUCCAAACAUAUACUUCUGAUUUUGGUGAACAGAAUAUCGCCUUCCAUAAGCCUACUGCACAACGUUCAACAUGGGAUAUUCAUCAGUCAUCCAACGGUGUGGAUGGACUUAAAUACUCCAGUAUGUUCCAUACUAAUACCAGCGCCUGGUGGUGCGUGGAUCUUCUGGCCGUGCAUGACAUUGAGUGGCUGGUUAUGUAUAACGUUGUUUUCGAUAGUCCAGACAAGGCUGGUAGAAUUGGGGGAUUUGAGAUUAUGCUAGCGGCAAGCGGUGGCUGUACUCAGGCAGGUUUCACGGCAUCAACGCUGUGUUACAAAGAUACAAGUAGUACAGAACUAAAUAUCUACACAAUCAACAGCUGCUCUGAACCAAACACACAGUUUG
Molecule: long non-coding RNA, 459 nt
Organism: Patella vulgata (common limpet)
Lineage: Eukaryota; Metazoa; Mollusca; Gastropoda; Patellidae
Exons: 3
Source: RefSeq, a predicted model, not a curated record